Molecule: long non-coding RNA, 1202 nt
Organism: Raphanus sativus (radish)
Lineage: Eukaryota; Viridiplantae; Streptophyta; Magnoliopsida; Brassicales; Brassicaceae
Exons: 5
Source: RefSeq, a predicted model, not a curated record
UUCGUUGAUUAGGAAUCCACUGUUUUCGUCUGUGUCUGCAAUUAGAGGCGUAACUUUUGGUUCCACCACAAUCGUCGCAAUUCGCCAUUAGAGAGACUGAGGUGCAGUCGGUGUGACGAUUCCAUUUGUUGGUUUUGAUCAGGUUCUUUCGCCUUCUUUCGAUCAAUCGAAAUGAGGUUAGUUUAGCUCCUCUUCAAACCAUCGUUGUCGAUUUUCAUGGCCAAAUAAGAGGAGAUCGAGAAGAACAAGUGGGAGGUUUGGAAAAGGAUUUAAGCUCAGCUUUGUUGUGUCGAAGAAGAGACCGGGCGAUUGGUGAAUUUAUAUAGUUUUAUCAUCCUCAUCACAAUCUUAUUUAUUGUACAAAAAAAAACUUUCCUUCAAGGUUUUGUUUCUGUAAAAGAUCCGACUUUAAUGUUAGGCCUAGAACUGAAGUGAUCAAUAUCACCAAAAGACAUGAUAUAGUAUGGUUUUUGAGGCUUUUAUGAGUUAUGUGGAUCAAAGCUCUUUCCUUUUUAUGGGAAGAACCAUUUGUUGAGGCCUGAGGGAAGUAGAAAAAGAUUUAUUUUUCCUUUUAUAGGAUCUUCAGACUAUGUUUCUUUGUUGAGGGAAGAAGUCGAAAAAGAAUUAACAGCUCCCGUUGGGAAAAAACACCUCCUGGAAGACAAAAGAAGAGACCAAAAACUGUUCAGAAGCAAAUAAUAGGACAUAACACAGGCUCUUAUGACCCCCCUGACGCUGAGGAAACAUGAUCAAAGGUCAGAGUCACUGCAUAUAACUUCAUCGAAAACCAUAAGACUUUCACCGUAAGUGCAUCAUUGAUGAGAUUGGCCGUGAACCAGUACCUGGCGUGGCUGACAAUGCAAGGUGAUGAUGACGGUGGUGAUGACGACAAGCCAGCUGUCAAGCCAGUUCCUGUUAUGUCUGAAUCUGCAGGGGGCAGUGGUAAUAUGCAGAAGCAGACGGCCAACUCAGAUUUGAAGAUGGUUAAAAAGGCGCGUGUUGCUUGACAUGAAGUUUCAAUAAAUUUAUGAUCAGACUAUGCAUCUUAAUAAUGCUUUUGCAUCUUUAUUGCCUUUCACGUCUUUUUUUUGAGACUGAAACCGUUCACGUCUUUUGCUUUCUAUGUUUUGACUUUCUCCAAUAUUAUGAGCACUCUACGUUUGUUCCAGGCAGUUUUCGUUAUAUGAGUUUAUUUUUCCUUA